This 479-nucleotide ribosomal RNA is filed under the name uncultured Rhodocyclaceae bacterium. RNAcentral describes it as "bacterial SSU rRNA". It matches the Rfam family "Bacterial small subunit ribosomal RNA", at positions 902 to 1382 of the family's 1533-position model. Lineage: Bacteria; Pseudomonadati; Pseudomonadota; Betaproteobacteria; Rhodocyclales; Rhodocyclaceae. The record is from RNAcentral.
CAAAGGAAUUGACGGGACCCGCACAAGCGUGGAUGAUGUGGUUUAAUUCGAUGCAACGCGAAAAACCUUACCCACCUUUGACAUGUACGGAACCCUUUAGAGAUAGAGGGGUGCUCGAAAGAGAGCCGUAACACAGGUGCUGCAUGGCUGUCGUCAGCUCGUGUCGUGAGAUGUUGGGUUAAGUCCCGCAACGAGCGCAACCCUUGUCCUUAGUUGCCACCAUUCAGUUGGGCACUCUAAGGAGACUGCCGGUGUUAAACCGGAGGAAGGUGGGGAUGACGUCAAGUCCUCAUGGCCCUUAUAUCCAGGGCUACACACGUGCUACAAUGGCCGGUACAAAGGGUCGCAAUACCGCGAGGUGGAGCUAAUCCCAAAAAGCCGGUCUCAGUUCGGAUUGCAGGCUGCAAUUCGCCUGCAUGAAGUCGGAAUCGCUAGUAAUCGCAGGUCAGCAUACUGCGGUGAAUACGUUCCCGGGCCUU